This 72-nucleotide transfer RNA is filed under the name Heterocephalus glaber (naked mole-rat). It matches the Rfam family "tRNA". From Rfam's summary of the family: Transfer RNA (tRNA) molecules are approximately 80 nucleotides in length. Their secondary structure includes four short double-helical elements and three loops (D, anti-codon, and T loops). Lineage: Eukaryota; Metazoa; Chordata; Mammalia; Rodentia; Bathyergidae. The record is from Rfam by way of RNAcentral.
AGUGGUGUAGCUCAGUGAUAGAGCACUAGCUUACCAGGCAUGAGGUCCUGGCUUCCAUCCCCAGUACCACAA